This 755-nucleotide ribosomal RNA is filed under the name uncultured Lactobacillales bacterium. RNAcentral describes it as "bacterial SSU rRNA". It matches the Rfam family "Bacterial small subunit ribosomal RNA", at positions 28 to 776 of the family's 1533-position model. The record is from RNAcentral. Lineage: Bacteria; Bacillati; Bacillota; Bacilli; Lactobacillales.
GAUGAACGCUCGCUGUGUGCCUAAUACAUGCAUGUUGAACGGGAUGUAGCAAUACAUUCAGUAGCGAAUGGGUGAGUAACACGUACCUAACCUACCUUUAAGACUGGGAUAACUAUUGGAAACAAUAGCUAAUACCGGAUAUAGUUAUUUAUCGCAUGAUGAGUAAUAGAAAGGAGCUUCACAGCUUCACUUAAAAAUGGGGGUGCGGAACAUUAGUUAGUUGGUAGGGUAAUGGCCUACCAAGACGAUGAUGUUUAGCCGGGCCGAGAGGCUGUACGGCCACACUGGGACUGAGAUACGGCCCAGACUCCUACGGGAGGCAGCAGUAAAGAAUUUUCCACAAUGAGCGAAAGCUUGAUGGAGCGACACAGCGUGCAGGAUGAAGUUCUUCGGAAUGUAAACUGCUGUUAUAAGGGAAGAAAAAAUAGAAUAGGAAAUGAUUUUAUCUUGACGGUACCUUAUUAGAAAGCGACGGCAAACUAUGUGCCAGCAGCUGCGGUAAUACGUAGGGCGCGAGCGUUGUCCGGAAUUAUUGGGCGUAAAGGGCUCGUAGGCGGCUUUUUAAGUCGGAUGUGAAAUCCCUGAGCUUAGCUUAGGAAUUGCAUUCGAUACUGGGAAGCUAGAGUAUGGGAGAGGAUGGUAGAAUUCCAGGUGUAGCGGUGAAAUGCGUAGAGAUCUGGAGGAAUACCGAUGGCGAAGGCAGCCAUCUGGCCUAAUACUGACGCUGAGGUACGAAAGCAUGGGGAGCAAACAGG